AUAGCUCUAUUGUUGACUAGCUCCCAUACCAAGUCAUAGAUUAGCUGCACUGCAUACUGGGCAAGCCCUGGUCACACAUACCUACAAAAGUACUCAGCAGCAGGUAGACGGAGAGGGGAGGAGGAACUGAGCUGCCGACAGCAUUCCGAGACCAGCCGUUGAAAAAGCAGGUAAUCCAUGGGCUCAUGGGAUGUGGAAGCUGAAGUAGUGGGACCCAAAGGUGAGAGCCCUCAGGAUCCUGGUGACUAUUCCCAAAGCUGCUGGUCAUCUUGAUCCGAUUGCCUGGUCUGGUGGUCUUGAUCCAAAGAUCUGACACUGCACAGAAAAGACUGCACCUUGACUGUCUCUAUAAAGGACAUCCUCCGAGCAAUGGUUGCUCAGACUAAUUUAAUCUUUUUAAAGACACACACCUGUCUAACCUGUACUAAUAACAGUAAAUGUAAUAACAAACAGCUAAAAGUGCAUAGGACUAUAUUGAACAUGAAAUGAACAAAAAACAUGCAACACUGUACUAUUAAAUAUUUUCAUUAAUGACUUUCAUUAGUAAUCAUUAAGGACGGUCAUCAAUUGUUUUCCAUGUCCACUGAAAGUAGGACAAGAAAUAAUGGACUUAAUUUGCAACAAGGGAGAUUUAGGUUAGAUAUUAGAAAAAAAAUUCUAACUAAAAGGGUAGUUAAGCUCUGGAAUAGUCUUCCAAGAAGUAUCCUCAUCAUUGGAGGUUUUUGAGAAAAACUUGGACAAACAUCUUGUGACGUUGCACUCCAUAAGAUUUUAUGAACAUAUGCUAAUGAGUGUGAAUAUAAUGUAACUGGAGUAUGCUUCAUGCAAAAGGCUCUCUUGUAAGGUAUCAUUACAAAGUU
Molecule: long non-coding RNA, 860 nt
Organism: Trachemys scripta elegans
Lineage: Eukaryota; Metazoa; Chordata; Testudines; Emydidae
Exons: 3
Source: RefSeq, a predicted model, not a curated record